GAUUAACGCUGGCGGCAUGCCUAAUACAUGCAAGUCGAACGAGGUUACUUUGUAACCUAGUGGCAAACGGGUGAGUAAUAUAUGUUUAACCUACCUUAAAGCGUGGAAUAACUAUUGGAAACGAUAGCUAAUACCACAUAGCGUAUUAAAAGGCAUCUUUUAAUGCUUAAAGACGCGUUUGCGUCGCUUUUAAAUGGGAACAUACCGCAUUAGCUAGUUGGUAAGGUAAUGGCUUACCAAGGCGAUGAUGCGUAGCCGGACUGAGAGGUCGAUCGGCCACAAUGGGACUGAGACACGGCCCAUACUCCUACGGGAGGCAGCAGUAGGGGAAUUUUCCACAAUGGACGAAAGUCUGAUGGAGCAAUGCCGCGUGAGGGAUGAAGGUCUUCGGAUUGUAAACCUCUGUUGAUAGGAAAGAAUACGUAUAAUAGGAAAUGAUUAUACUUUUGACGGUACCUGUCCAGAAAGUCACGGCAAACUAUGUGCCAG
Molecule: ribosomal RNA, 489 nt
Filed under: uncultured bacterium
Lineage: Bacteria
Description: bacterial SSU rRNA
Rfam family: Bacterial small subunit ribosomal RNA
Source: RNAcentral